This 73-nucleotide transfer RNA is filed under the name Bacteroidales bacterium. RNAcentral's name for it is "tRNA-Trp". It matches the Rfam family "tRNA". From Rfam's summary of the family: Transfer RNA (tRNA) molecules are approximately 80 nucleotides in length. Their secondary structure includes four short double-helical elements and three loops (D, anti-codon, and T loops). Further hydrogen bonds mediate the characteristic L-shaped molecular structure. tRNAs have two regions of fundamental functional importance: the anti-codon, which is responsible for specific mRNA codon recognition, and the 3' end, to which the tRNAs corresponding amino acid is attached (by aminoacyl-tRNA synthetases). tRNAs cope with the degeneracy of the genetic code in two manners: having more than one tRNA (with a specific anti-codon) for a particular amino acid; and 'wobble' base-pairing, i.e. permitting non-standard base-pairing at the 3rd anti-codon position. The record is from RNAcentral. Lineage: Bacteria; Pseudomonadati; Bacteroidota; Bacteroidia; Bacteroidales.
ACGGGUGUAGCUCAAUUGGUAGAGCGAUGGUCUCCAAAACCAUAGGCUGUGGGUUCGAAGCCUGCCACCCGUG